RNAcentral lists this transfer RNA (67 nucleotides) under uncultured Spiribacter sp. It matches the Rfam family "tRNA". From Rfam's summary of the family: Transfer RNA (tRNA) molecules are approximately 80 nucleotides in length. Their secondary structure includes four short double-helical elements and three loops (D, anti-codon, and T loops). The record is from RNAcentral. Lineage: Bacteria; Pseudomonadati; Pseudomonadota; Gammaproteobacteria; Chromatiales; Ectothiorhodospiraceae. RNAcentral also lists the same sequence under 1 other name.
GGUGUAGCGCAGCCUGGUAGCGCGCCUGCUUUGGGAGCAGGAUGUCGGGGGUUCAAAUCCCUCCACC